GGUAGCGUGGCCGAGCGGUCUAAGGCGUUGGUUUAAGGCACCAGUCUUGAAAGAGGCGUGGGUUCGAAUCCCACGGCUGCCA
This 82-nucleotide transfer RNA is filed under the name Nematostella vectensis (starlet sea anemone). It matches the Rfam family "tRNA". Rfam says of the family: Transfer RNA (tRNA) molecules are approximately 80 nucleotides in length. Lineage: Eukaryota; Metazoa; Cnidaria; Anthozoa; Actiniaria; Edwardsiidae. The record is from Rfam by way of RNAcentral.